Molecule: ribosomal RNA, 351 nt
Filed under: uncultured bacterium
Lineage: Bacteria
Description: bacterial SSU rRNA
Rfam family: Bacterial small subunit ribosomal RNA
Source: RNAcentral
GGGCCCGCACAAGCGGUGGAGCAUGUGGUUUAAUUCGAUGAUACGCGAGGAACCUUACCAGGGCUUAAAUGGAAAAUGACAGGGGCAGAGACGCCCCCUUCUUCGGACAUUUUUCAAGGUGCUGCAUGGUUGUCGUCAGCUCGUGCCGUGAGGUGUCAGGUUAAGUCCUAUAACGAGCGCAACCCCUACCGUUAGUUGCCAGCGAGUAAUGUCGGGGACUCUAACGGAACUGCCGGUGCAAACCGUGAGGAAGGUGGGGACGACGUCAAAUCAUCACGGCCCUUACGUCCUGGCCACACACGUGCUACAAUGGUAGGUACAGAGGGAAGCCACCCCGCGAGGGGGAGCGAA